Molecule: ribosomal RNA, 253 nt
Filed under: uncultured bacterium
Lineage: Bacteria
Description: partial 16S ribosomal RNA
Rfam family: Bacterial small subunit ribosomal RNA
Source: RNAcentral
UACGUAGGGCGCAAGCGUUGUCCGGAAUCAUUGGGCGUAAAGCGCGCGUAGGUGGCCCCAUACGUCCGCUGUGAAAGUCAAAGGCUCAACCUUGGAAAGCCGGUGGAUACUGUGGGACUAGAGUACGGAAGAGGCGAGUGGAAUUCCUGGUGUAGCGGUGGAAUGCGUAGAUAUCAGGAGGAACACCGAUGGCGAAGGCAGCUCUCUGGCCUAUAACUGACGCUGAGGUGCGAAAGCGUGGGGAGCAAACGGG